GUUACUUUGGCUUACAGUUUCCAAGGUUUAGUCAGUGGAAGACUGACUUCAUGCUCAGGAUGAUGUCGAACAUCAUGGCAGAAGGAUGUGGCAGAGGGAUGCUGCUCCAUCAUCCACUGCAGCCAAGAAGCAGAGAGAGAGAGAGGGAAACCAGCCACCGGGAAGAUAAACCCUUCCAGGUCACACCACCAGUGACCCACCUCCUCUAGCCUUGCCUCACCUGCCUACAGUUACCACCCAAUUGUUUCCUUCAAGCUCAGAUGGUCUUAUUAGGCUGCAGCUCUCACAAAGCAAUCGUUUCACCUCUGAGCAUUCCUACUUAACACAGGAGCUCUGGGGAGAUACCUCAUAUCCAUAACAGUAGCUGUGAAGAUGAAAUUAAGCAAUGCUUAUAAAACACUUGAAAUUUAGUUAAUGCCCAAUAAGCACCGAGUUAUCAUCAUCUUUGUCAGUCUGUUCUCAUUUUGAAACACAACAGGCAAGUAAAGCUAGAUUAAUGUUAUCAGGGACUUUAUAAUUGGGCUUAAUAUUUCCCUUUGUACUAAAUACAGCAGCUAAAAUUGUAUUUAAGUGUGAAUUUUAGACAUAUAGGAUGUGCAAAAUCCUUUAAUUCAGGGAAGCCUGUAUCAGAUUCUAACAAAGUUAAAUUUUAGCUAUUUAUGAAAUUGCCUAUGCAUAAAGAAUAGUUUGAGGAAGGUUUCAGGAUAUUAUUAUUUAUCUCCCCAAAAAGCAGAUAGAGGCCUAUCAUGGCUCUUAAAAAUAGACUAAGCUUAGCAUAUGAAUUCAGUGUCCAUUUUCAUCGCCAUCUAAGAAACCCUUUGUAUUGAAGCAGCUGGAAGGUGAAAACAUCCGUUUCUCAGGCUUCCCUGUAGGCAGGGGCGAGAUAUCCAUUCUACCAGUGAGACAGUCUCAUGGUAGAAAUUACAGAAGGUGGAUGGAUGGGAUAGAAUCUCCUUUCAGCAGGAUCUGGC
Molecule: long non-coding RNA, 971 nt
Filed under: Marmota monax (woodchuck)
Lineage: Eukaryota; Metazoa; Chordata; Mammalia; Rodentia; Sciuridae
Source: RNAcentral